UUGAACGCUGGCGGCAGGCCUCACACAUGCCCGUCGAACGGUAACAGGGAUCAGCUUGCUGAUUCGCUGACGAGUGGCGGACGGGUGAGUAAUGUCUGGGAAACUGCCUGAUGGAGGGGGAUAACUACUGGAAACGGUAGCUAAUACCGCAUAACGUCGCAAGACCAAAGAGGGGGACCUUCGGGCCUCUUGCCAUCGGAUGUGCCCAGAUGGGAUUAGCUAGUAGGUGGGGUAACGGCUCACCUAGGCGACGAUCCCUAGCUGGUCUGAGAGGAUGACCAGCCACACUGGAACUGAGACACGGUCCAGACUCCUACGGGAGGCAGCAGUGGGGAAUAUUGCACAAUGGGCGCAAGCCUGAUGCAGCCAUGCCGCGUGUAUGAAGAAGGCCUUCGGGUUGUAAAGUACUUUCAGCGGGGAGGAAGGGAGUAAAGUUAAUACCUUUGCUCAUUGACGUUACCCGCAGAAGAAGCACCGGCUAACUCCGUG
This 489-nucleotide ribosomal RNA is filed under the name uncultured bacterium. RNAcentral's name for it is "partial 16S ribosomal RNA". It matches the Rfam family "Bacterial small subunit ribosomal RNA", at positions 30 to 507 of the family's 1533-position model. The record is from RNAcentral.